AACUGAUACUACCUGCGGGAACCUGCGGAGGGAUCAUCACUAAUUGGAAGUUGAUUCUUUUCCGAAUCUUCUUCUUUAUGAUCUGUGCAAUGUGGACCAACAUGUCGUGGUCUUUGACUUGCGGUUAUAAAUAUCCUUUGAAAAAAGGUAACCGCAAAGGUUCUUUUGAACCAACUUUUUAUAUAUUUCUUUCUGAACUUUUUUUAAAAAAAGGGUGUUUUGGUCUUAAUUGACUUGCCU
Molecule: unclassified non-coding RNA, 240 nt
Filed under: soil metagenome
Description: partial contains 5.8S ribosomal RNA, internal transcribed spacer 2, and large subunit ribosomal RNA
Source: RNAcentral